Molecule: ribosomal RNA, 370 nt
Filed under: uncultured bacterium
Lineage: Bacteria
Description: bacterial SSU rRNA
Rfam family: Bacterial small subunit ribosomal RNA
Source: RNAcentral
GGAGGGUGCAAGCGUUAAUCGGAAUUACUGGGCGUAAAGCGCACGCAGGCGGUUUGUUAAGUCAGAUGUGAAAUCCCCGCGCUUAACGUGGGAACUGCAUUUGAAACUGGCAAGCUAGAGUCUUGUAGAGGGGGGUAGAAUUCCAGGUGUAGCGGUGAAAUGCGUAGAGAUCUGGAGGAAUACCGGUGGCGAAGGCGGCCCCCUGGACAAAGACUGACGCUCAGGUGCGAAAGCGUGGGGAGCAAACAGGAUUAGAUACCCUGGUAGUCCACGCUGUAAACGAUGUCGACUUGGAGGUUGUGCCCUUGAGGCGUGGCUUCCGGAGCUAACGCGUUAAGUCGACCGCCUGGGGAGUACGGCCGCAAGGUUA